RNAcentral lists this long non-coding RNA (361 nucleotides) under Theobroma cacao (cacao). RNAcentral's name for it is "long non-coding RNA (TCAC_LNC004738)". Lineage: Eukaryota; Viridiplantae; Streptophyta; Magnoliopsida; Malvales; Malvaceae. The record is from RNAcentral.
GGAUAUCAUGAGCUGAAUAAGCCUCGCUUGGAGUAAAAACAAGAACUUUUCCAGGGCCAAACAGCGUAGGAGAAGGCAUGAGCCAGAGGUUACUUUCAGAGCUCCUUUGUUCUCCCCUUACCAGCAAUGGAUCAACCAGGGGCACUCCAAAAGAACUCCCGGAAGCAAAAGUGAGCAUUUCUUGAACUGUGCCACCCCAAGGAGCUGAAAGUGCAACAAAGUGUUUGAUAAACCGUUGGCGCCAAGAGGCUGAAUUUCGGUUGAGAAGUUGGAGUACGUAGAGGCCCCCUAGGCUGUGGGAGAGGAGAAUCACUGGCUUCCCUCCAUUGGAAGCGCUUGCUUUUUCAAUCAAAUCUUUCAG